AAUAGGAGAGUGACAAAUUAAAUUUUUUCUCCUAAUUUCAGCUUUUUCCUCAUUAAAAAAAAUCAAAUUCAACUAAAAAUGCUAAAAAUCAAGAGGAGAAGUCUAAUUUGUCAUUUUCCUAUU
RNAcentral lists this microRNA precursor (123 nucleotides) under Gossypium hirsutum (cotton). RNAcentral's name for it is "MIR7504 microRNA precursor family". It matches the Rfam family "MIR7504 microRNA precursor family". RNAcentral also lists the same sequence under 1 other name. Lineage: Eukaryota; Viridiplantae; Streptophyta; Magnoliopsida; Malvales; Malvaceae. The record is from Rfam by way of RNAcentral.